GAGUUUGAUCGUGGCUCAGAUUGAACGCUGGCGGCAUGCCUUACACAUGCAAGUCGAACGGCAGCACGGGAGCUUGCUCCUGGUGGCGAGUGGCGAACGGGUGAGUAAUGCAUCGGAACGUAUCCUGGAGUGGGGGAUAACGUAGCGAAAGUUACGCUAAUACCGCAUAUUCUGUGAGCAGGAAAGCGGGGGACCUUCGGGCCUCGCGCUCUUGGAGCGGCCGAUGUCGGAUUAGCUAGUUGGUGAGGUAAGGCUCACCAAGGCGACGAUCCGUAGCAGGUCUGAGAGGAUGAUCUGCCACACUGGAACUGAGACACGGUCCAGACUCCUACGGGAGGCAGCAGUGGGGAAUUUUGGACAAUGGGGGCAACCCUGAUCCAGCCAUGCCGCGUGAGUGAAGAAGGCCUCGGUUGUAA
This 416-nucleotide ribosomal RNA is filed under the name bacterium enrichment culture clone ALO1_GLFRUDD03G6URI. RNAcentral describes it as "bacterial SSU rRNA". It matches the Rfam family "Bacterial small subunit ribosomal RNA", at positions 9 to 428 of the family's 1533-position model. The record is from RNAcentral.